This 3180-nucleotide ribosomal RNA is filed under the name Triticum aestivum (bread wheat). RNAcentral's name for it is "partial small subunit ribosomal RNA". The record is from RNAcentral. Lineage: Eukaryota; Viridiplantae; Streptophyta; Magnoliopsida; Poales; Poaceae.
AUGAGGCUUGCCUUGCUCGACGUCACCCCAUCAAGAUCCUUCUUCCUGCUACAUCUCAAAAACAUCGCAAGACACAGUCCUAAUUGUGUCCAGAUAUUUAUCUCUGUUCAACUUGCCUUAAUUGAAAUUCUGAACAAGAGAAGGUCGGCGCGCGGCGUAUCCGUCCCAAAACCACAGGUGAACAUACUACCAAACUCCAAGUCUCCAAGACUCCAACCCGUGAUGUACGUUCGCAUCCACAAUGGCUGCCGCCUCAACAUGGCAAUGGAUACCCGCAACUCGCGAACCCGGCGGGUAAUCGAGAUGGGUAUUUUUACCCGCGGGUAUUACCCACACCCGACCAGGUACGGGUAUGGAAAAAGUUUGAAACCUGAGGUGCGGGUGCGGGUACGGCGAUCGGUGUGGCGCCGGAAGAGCACCGUCAACCUCGAUAGCAGGCCGUACGCAAAAGCAGAGCGAGACCUCUACUACUGUACUCCAACGCUUGAGGCUUUCUUCGACGACGCCCACGACAUCCUCGCAGCGCUCCGCCGGCCGCGCAAAGGAUCCCGCCGCCGCCGCCGCCGCCAUGGCGUGGGCCUCAAGACGCUCAAGCUCUUCCUGGAGGAAGGAGCCUACUACAUCAGCAAGAGCUGGCGUACGGAGGGCGACAAGGCCGAACCGGGCCACAGGGUCGCCGAACUCCUCGCCGACCCUGCCGUGGCGCGGCUGGAAGAGCUCAGCAUCGGCUGCGGGCAGGGCCAUACAAGAGAAGAGAGUACCCUCACAAACUGCAACCUAGAGCCGCCGUCGACGGUGCCGUCCUCGGGCCUGGCUUUCCCGUGCCUGACAGAUCUGACGUUGCGGAACUGCUUUUUCUUGGAGGGGUAUCUUCAGGACAUGGUCGACGCCGCGGCGGCGCUCACCAGCAUGACGCUGGUGAACGUCAAACAAAAGGCGGCGGAGGCGCCGGGUUCUGACAAGAGAUUCUACGAGUGGGACUACUUCAGGCUGCCACUACGCCUCCGAUGCCCGAUGAUCACCGCCUUGGUGCUCGUGACCUUUGUCGACAAGAAGGAGCCCGUGAAGCUCUCGCUCACAUCACCGGCGCCGGGGCUCGCACGAGUCGAUUUCGAUGUGGAUCACCACCAUCAGGGUGGCUGCGAGAUCUUGAAUUACGAGCCGUUGUCCCGCAUGACGGCAAGCUUCUCCAGCACGAGAGCCCUCAAGGUGCGCCUCGAGUGCAUCGAGGACAUCGUCGCCGACGAGGAUGAGGACGCCGGAAUCAUGCUGCCAACAUUCCCGAACCUGAAGCUCCUCGAACUAGACGGAGAGUACCAGGACGUGGACAGCAAGACGCCGGUGGCAAUGGCGAGGAUUCUCCGCUCCUGCCCGGUGAUGUCCGAGCUCCGGCUCAAGUUGGCCAUGCGGUACUACAACUACUACCACGCCGCGAAUCUGGAUCGACGGCGACGAGCGACGCCGCGCUUCCUCGCCAACUCGGCACCGACGACGACGGGCGGCGUGACCGUUCCUCACCACAUCAGACGUAGACGGACACGCCUCCCCUGGUUUUUCGCGGAACGUGGCGAGCCGGAGCAGUACACAUCUGGUGGAUGGAUGGAUGGAUGGAUCCAUGUACGUGGUCAGGUAGAUGUAGGGCUAGAUGGGUGGAUCAUGGAUGGAUGUAUUGUAUUCUGUACGGCUAGAUGUAGCAGCAACGGAUGGAUGGAUCAUACACCUACCGUCGCAACAAUGGACAAGCAAAAGGGGAAGGCGAGUGGGAAGGAGAAGGAGAAAGAGAGGACGUUGGACUCCAUUAUGAAGAGAAAGUUGCCGGUCUCGGGGAUGCAGAAGGGGAAUGGGAAGGGCAAUGCAGCAGCUACUACACGGCUACCGAUGAAGCUGACAAAUGAUUCCAGCAAUGUCCCAAUCGCUGAGUUGUUGUAUAGGGUAAAAAAGAAACCUCCGCCUCGACGUCUCCCUGACCCCACCGGCGCUGGCGUGCGUGCCGGAAUCGCCGUUGCCUCCGGCUCCGCAAACUACUAUGAGAGGGAGGCUACAUCUUCGCAGGCAAUGGAGCAUGAUAAGCAAGCGGAGGAGGAUCAUGAAGAGGUGGAAGAGGAUGAGGAGGAGGACGAGGAAGAGCAAGAUACUUUGUUUAAGGUGCCGCCUGGGGUUGGUGACAAAUCAGAUUCAGAUGGGUUGGUGACAAAUCAGAUUCAGCCAAGAACAAUUGCAACACAAAUACCUCGAUGCCACUUAUGGAUUGUGACUUUCAGUCCUUCUUAUCAGCCACUUCAUCAACACCAUCAAAAAGAAUCAACUUUCAGCACGGGUGAAAGAGUUUUAGAUGACUACAGGAGUUCUUUGAAACCAGAAAUGGUGGAAGCCUUGGUGUGCGGUGCUAGUUAUAUCAAAGGUUAUCACAAGGACUUCAAUGUGGUGGAGAGGGAUGAAGAUGAGGAUGACGAUGUUGAGAAUAUCAAGUUGCCCAAGAUUGUUGAUGUGGGGGAUAUUCGCCAUGUGGGUGUUGCUCUUGCUAUUUUGAAGAUGGAUGUCUACAUGAUCUUCUCAUGUGGAUUGUUGAGGUUUAAUUGCCGCAAAAAAUCAAGUAUAUACACUAUAUACAGAGCGAGCCGAGCCGAGCCGAGCCGCUCCAGAGCGAGCCAAAGCCAGGCUCGGAUCAAGCUCGGCUCGGCUCGGCUCGUGUCCAGCGACCGCAAGCACGAGGAGCCGGUCGGGGGUCCCUUUAGCGAGUCCAUGGAGCGGUCCAAGAGGCUCGCAUCCAUGUCAUCGGCCAUGGACUUCGGCGGGGUCUCGGAGCUCUCGAACGCCCUGACCAACAACAAAUGCGAGUUCCGCUGCCUUCAGACGAGCCUCCGGAAGGUGACGCUGCAGUUCAAGGCCAAGGAGGUGAACUGCUUCCCGGCGCAGCUCGCCAAGUUCCUCGUGGAGAACGCCAUGGUGCUUGAGGAGAUGCACGUCGACGACGGGAGCCAAUUCUGGUCGGACCACCUCUGUCACAAGGUUGCGAGAUGGAGAGACGAGUCUUUCCGCCUGAAGAACCUGCCGGACGCGGCCGCGGGGUUUCGGGUGUGCCAGCUGCAGCUGGAUAAUCCAGAGGGAGGUUCUAAUCAGGGGCGUGGCGGCAAGCCAGGGGACGAGUCUAAUGGAGAACAAUGUUAUGACUCCUAUUAG